Molecule: ribosomal RNA, 497 nt
Filed under: uncultured bacterium
Lineage: Bacteria
Description: partial 16S ribosomal RNA
Rfam family: Bacterial small subunit ribosomal RNA
Source: RNAcentral
GAUGAACGCUGGCGGCGUGCCUAAUACAUGCAAGUCGAGCGAACGGACUAGAAGCUUGCUUCUCUGAUGUUAGCGGCGGACGGGUGAGUAACACGUGGAUAACCUACCUAUAAGACUGGGAUAACUUCGGGAAACCGUAGCUAAUACCGGAUAAUAUUUUGAACCGCAUGGUUCAAAAGUGAAAGACGGUCUUGCUGUCACUUAUAGAUGGAUCCGCGCUGCAUUAGCUAGUUGGUAAGGUAACGGCUUACCAAGGCAACGAUGCAUAGCCGACCUGAGAGGGUGAUCGGCCACACUGGAACUGAGACACGGUCCAGACUCCUACGGGAGGCAGCAGUAGGGAAUCUUCCGCAAUGGGCGAAAGCCUGACGGAGCAACGCCGCGUGAGUGAUGAAGGUCUUCGGAUCGUAAAACUCUGUUAUUAGCGAAGAACAUAUGUGUAAGUAACUGUGCACAUCUUGACGGUACCUAAUCAGAAAGCCACGGCUAACUACGUG